Molecule: long non-coding RNA, 1000 nt
Organism: Zeugodacus cucurbitae (melon fly)
Lineage: Eukaryota; Metazoa; Arthropoda; Insecta; Diptera; Tephritidae
Exons: 5
Source: RefSeq, a predicted model, not a curated record
UACCCCUGCAUUGAACCAUAUAGAUGCAAAGGAUUUUUAGUUAGACCCGAAGUCUUCAAACCAACAGUUGUUAGCUCUCUCAAACAAAAAAAAGAAUAGACAGUUUUUUCUUCAAUUCAAGUGUGAAUUACAGCAAAGUUAAAAAAUGAGUGAAGUCCGCAGCUUGAUGUCCACUUUUGCCAUUUUGGCUGUGCUAUUAAUUCUUCUCUGGCUGUUGUAUGCCAUCUUUUAAGCUGGAAAUCAAACAAAACAAUAACAACAAGGAUAUGGCGUGUCUAGUCUAAGGUAAAGCUUUAAAUUCAAUCAAUCAACAACAAAAACCAAAACAACAACAACAGCAACAGCAUGAAUGAAGCCAAGAGUUUGUUCACCACUUUCCUCAUCCUGGUCUUCUUGUUGGGCCUGCUGUGGGCUUUCUAUGAAGCCGUUUUCUAAAUCAACAGCAAAUUACUAUUAACAACAACAAUAAUAGCAGCAACUAGACAUGAUUUUCAUAUAAUUAAUUAUAUUUUUUUCGUUACCCACACGUUAACACACACACACACACAUACACACAUAUCCUGUGUAUGUUGGGUACGAGCAUUUUUUCGUUUAUUUUUUUUUAUUUAACACCAUCAAAUUCAUGGGUAAUAGUUUGGAAAAAAAACAACCUCGUUAUCAUCGUGUAAUCUGGCAACGACAACAACACCAUCUUACAUAAUAGAAUUAAUACGCGUAAAAGCAUUUCCAACAUAACAUUAAAAUUCGUAAAAUAAGGACAAAAAAGUAAACUAUUGAAUAUGGAGUUCGUUUAGUUCGAAAAUGAGAUGACGUCAAACGCUUUGGCAAAUAUGCGCAGUUCAACGUAGCAGCAGCGUCAAGCUGUGUCGCCAGCAAGUCAAAGGAAUUCUGCGCCUCAACACAUUCGCAACACUCUGGCAACUCUGUGCGCUGUGAUUUGCUGUAGCAAGCGCCGUUUGUGCUGCGGAAAAUAUCAGCUGUCAAGAACGAUCCAUCAACU